This 131-nucleotide unclassified non-coding RNA is filed under the name Flavobacterium xinjiangense. RNAcentral describes it as "Flavo-1 RNA". The record is from RNAcentral. Lineage: Bacteria; Pseudomonadati; Bacteroidota; Flavobacteriia; Flavobacteriales; Flavobacteriaceae.
ACUUAGCCCCGAUUAAAUUGAAAAUCCUUUUUUUCUGCCUUUUUUUUGGCGGAUAAAAAGAUUACCUCACUAUACUUUUAUUUCCAUAGGAGUUCAGUGAAUUUCAUUUGUAACGGAAAGCGGGACACGAG